UACAGAGACUGCAAGCGUUAUUCGGAUUCACUGGGCGUAAAGGGUGCGCAGGCGGCCAAGUGUGUGAGGCGUGAAAGCCUGGAGCUUAACUCCAGAAUUGCACCUCAAACUACAUGGCUAGAGCAUUGGAGAGGGUAGCGGAAUUCACGGUGUAGCAGUGAAAUGCGUAGAUAUCGGGUAGAACACCAGUGGCGAAGGCGGUCUUCUGGACAGUGACUGACGCUGAGACGCGAAAGCGUGGGGAGC
RNAcentral lists this ribosomal RNA (246 nucleotides) under uncultured bacterium. Its description in RNAcentral is "partial 16S ribosomal RNA". It matches the Rfam family "Bacterial small subunit ribosomal RNA", at positions 524 to 769 of the family's 1533-position model. The record is from RNAcentral.